This 410-nucleotide unclassified non-coding RNA is filed under the name Hevea brasiliensis (rubber tree). Lineage: Eukaryota; Viridiplantae; Streptophyta; Magnoliopsida; Malpighiales; Euphorbiaceae. The record is from RNAcentral.
AACGGAGUUGGAUUUAAACCAGACAUAUUGGACAUGGAUGUAAUGGAAAAGGUUCUUGAGGUUAGCAGUGAAGAUGCAGUAAAAAUGGCUAGGAGAUUGGCAUUGGAGGAGGGGCUUAUGGUGGGAAUAUCAUCUGGAGCCAACACAGUUGCUGCACUUAGACUUGCUAGAAUGCCAGAGAACAAAGGAAAACUCAUCGUGACUGUUCAUCCAAGUUUCGGGGAGCGAUACUUGUCAUCUGUCCUGUUUGAAGAACUGAGAUAUGAGGCUGCAAACAUGCAACCAGUUCCAGUUGACUAAGUGCUUUGGGAUGGGGUGCUCUAUAAAUAAUAUUAAAUCUCUUGUAUGCAAUCAUUUGUUGACUUCAUAUUACUUAAUAGGUUUCUUGGGUGAAAAACUAUGUCUGCAGA